This 195-nucleotide ribosomal RNA is filed under the name uncultured Bacillus sp. RNAcentral describes it as "partial 16S ribosomal RNA". It matches the Rfam family "Bacterial small subunit ribosomal RNA", at positions 338 to 524 of the family's 1533-position model. Lineage: Bacteria; Bacillati; Bacillota; Bacilli; Caryophanales; Bacillaceae. The record is from RNAcentral.
CCUACGGGAGGCAGCAGUAGGGAAUCUUCCACAAUGGACGAAAGUCUGAUGGAGCAACGCCGCGUGAGUGAUGAAGGCCUUCGGGUCGUUAAUCUCUGUUGUUAGGGAAGAACCAGUACCGUUCGAAUAGGGCGGUACCUUGACGGUACCUAACCAGAAAGCCACGGCUAACUACGUGCCAGCAGCCGCGGUAAU